RNAcentral lists this small RNA (78 nucleotides) under Flavobacterium aquidurense. Its description in RNAcentral is "Flavo-1 RNA". It matches the Rfam family "Flavo-1 RNA". The record is from RNAcentral. Lineage: Bacteria; Pseudomonadati; Bacteroidota; Flavobacteriia; Flavobacteriales; Flavobacteriaceae.
GCCUAGCCCCGAUAGCAGUGGAAAUCCUUUUGUGCCGGGGUUCGGCACAAAAGAUUGUAACGGAUAGCGGGGAAAAAC